Molecule: ribosomal RNA, 322 nt
Filed under: uncultured eukaryote
Lineage: Eukaryota
Description: partial 18S ribosomal RNA
Rfam family: Eukaryotic small subunit ribosomal RNA
Source: RNAcentral
CCCUUAGAUGUUCUGGGCCGCACGCGUGUUACACUGAGUGGAUCAGCGGGUCAGGUUACGCGAGAGCGUUUCCUAAUCUUCAAAUCCGCUCGUGAUGGGGAUUGACGGUUGCAAUUUUCCGUCAUGAACGAGGAAUACCUUGUAAGCGCGGGUCAUCAUCCCGCGCUGAAUACGUCCCUGCCCUUUGUACACACCGCCCGUCGCUCCUACCGAUUGAGUGGUCCGGUGAGGCUUUGGGAUCUAAGCGAAAAGAGCGUUUCGCUCCUUUUGCUGGGAGAACUCAGUCGAACCUUAUCAUUUAGAGGAAGGAGAAGUCGUAACA